GAUGAACGCUGGCGGCGUGCCUAACACAUGCAAGUCGAACGAAGCUUGACGGAUGAUUUCUUCGGAAUGAAACCAGAUAUGACUUAGUGGCGGACGGGUGAGUAACACGUGAGCAACCUGCCUUUCAGAGGGGGAUAACGGCUGGAAACGGUCGCUAAUACCGCAUGAUGUGUUCGGAUGGCAUCAUCUGAACAUCAAAGAUUUAUCGCUGAAAGAUGGGCUCGCGUCUGAUUAGAUAGUUGGUGGGGUAACGGCCUACCAAGUCUACGAUCAGUAGCCGGACUGAGAGGUUGAACGGCCACAUUGGGACUGAGAUACGGCCCAGACUCCUACGGGAGGCGGCAGUGGGGAAUAUUGCACAAUGGGGGAAACCCUGAUGCAGCAACGCCGCGUGAAGGAUGACGGUUUUCGGAUUGUAAACUUCUUUUCUUAGUGACGAAGACAGUGACGGUAGCUAAGGAAUAAGCAUCGGCUAACUACGUG
Molecule: ribosomal RNA, 483 nt
Filed under: uncultured bacterium
Lineage: Bacteria
Description: partial 16S ribosomal RNA
Rfam family: Bacterial small subunit ribosomal RNA
Source: RNAcentral